Molecule: ribosomal RNA, 492 nt
Filed under: uncultured bacterium
Lineage: Bacteria
Description: partial 16S ribosomal RNA
Rfam family: Bacterial small subunit ribosomal RNA
Source: RNAcentral
AGUGAACGCUGGCGGUAGGCCUAACACAUGCAAGUCGAACGGCAGCACAGUAAGAGCUUGCUCUUACGGGUGGCGAGUGGCGGACGGGUGAGGAAUAAAUCGGAAUCUACUUUUUCGUGGGGGAUAACGUAGGGAAACUUACGCUAAUACCGCAUACGACCUACGGGUGAAAGCAGGGGAUCUUCGGACCUUGCGCGAUUGAAUGAGCCGAUGUCGGAUUAGCUAGUUGGCGGGGUAAAGGCCCACCAAGGCGACGAUCCGUAGCUGGUCUGAGAGGAUGAUCAGCCACACUGGAACUGAGACACGGCCCAGACUCCUACGGGAGGCAGCAGUGGGGAAUAUUGGACAAUGGGCGCAAGCCUGAUCCAGCCAUACCGCGUGGGUGAAGAAGGCCUUCGGGUUGUAAAGCCCUUUUGUUGGGAAAGAAAAGCAGCAGGGUAAUACCCCGCUGUUCUGACGGUACCCAAAGAAUAAGCACCGGCUAACUUCGUG